AGAGUUUGAUCCUGGCUCAGGAUGAACGCUAGCUACAGGCUUAACACAUGCAAGUCGAGGGGCAUCAGUUUGGUUUGCUUGCAAACCAAAGCUGGCGACCGGCGCACGGGUGAGUAACACGUAUCCAACCUGCCUCAUACUCGGGGAUAGCCUUUCGAAAGAAAGAUUAAUAUCCGAUAGCAUAUAUUUCCCGCAUGGGUUUUAUAUUAAAGAAAUUCGGUAUGAGAUGGGGAUGCGUUCCAUUAGUUGUUGGCGGGUAACGGCCACCAAGACUAUGAUGGAUAGGGGUUCUGAGAGGAAGGUCCCCCCACAUUGGAACUGAGACACGGUCCAAAACUCCUACGGGCGGCA
This 351-nucleotide ribosomal RNA is filed under the name uncultured bacterium. Its description in RNAcentral is "bacterial SSU rRNA". It matches the Rfam family "Bacterial small subunit ribosomal RNA", at positions 8 to 350 of the family's 1533-position model. The record is from RNAcentral.